AGAGUUUGAUCCUGGCUCAGAACGAACGUUGGCGGCGUGGAUUAGGCAUGCAAGUCGAACGAAUGCUAGUUUUGUAGUAAUACAGAGCUAGCGAAAGUGGCGAAAGGGGCAGUAAUGCAUGGGUAACGUACCUUGGGGUUGGGCAUAGCCGUUCUAACGGACGGGUAAUUCCCAGAGAUUCGACGGGAGGGCAUCCUUCUGUCGGGAAAGAAUUUCGCCUCGAGAGCGGCCCAUGUGCUAUUAGCUAGUUGGUGAGGUAACGGCUCACCAAGGCUAAGAUGGCUAGCGGGUGUGAGAGCACGACCCGCGCCACUGGCACUGAGACACUGGCCAGACACCUACGGGUGGCUGCAGUCGAGGAUCUUCGUCAAUGGGCGCAAGCCUGAACGAGCGACGCCGCGUGCGCGAUGAAGGCCUUCGGGUUGUAAAGCGCGAAAGUGGGGAUAAAACCGCAAGGUUGAUAGAUCCACAGUAAGGACGGGCUAAAUUCGUGCCAGCAGCCGCGGUAAU
RNAcentral lists this ribosomal RNA (510 nucleotides) under uncultured soil bacterium. RNAcentral's name for it is "bacterial SSU rRNA". It matches the Rfam family "Bacterial small subunit ribosomal RNA", at positions 8 to 524 of the family's 1533-position model. The record is from RNAcentral.